UACGUAGGGUGCGAGCGUUAAUCGGAAUUACUGGGCGUAAAGCGUGCGCAGGCGGUUUUGCAAGCCGGAUGUGAAAUCCCCGGGCUCAACCUGGGAAUGGCAUUCGGGACUGCAAGGCUGGAGUGCGGCAGAGGAGACUGGAAUUCCUGGUGUAGCAGUGAAAUGCGUAGAUAUCAGGAGGAAUACCGAUGGCGAAGGCAGGUCUCUGGGCUGACACUGACGCUCAUGCACGAAAGCGUGGGGAGCGAACAGG
RNAcentral lists this ribosomal RNA (253 nucleotides) under uncultured bacterium. Its description in RNAcentral is "partial 16S ribosomal RNA". It matches the Rfam family "Bacterial small subunit ribosomal RNA", at positions 524 to 776 of the family's 1533-position model. The record is from RNAcentral.